UACAAGACAACUAUCCAUACAUUUUUUUUAAACUCCAAAUGGGAGAUGGAUAGGUUAAUUCCACACCCCAAAAGAGAAUAUUAUACAAUCCCUCAGUACAAUAUUAAUCCAUCAAUUGCAUUUGGGUAACUCAGCAUUAAUUCUUUGUGUUUUUUACCUCAUUACUCCAUUGUCUCUUAAUUCACAUUAUUGCAUUGUCAACUAAAGAUCUUCCUUCAAAUAACCUUUCCUUUGCCUUGCUUGCCUGUCUUUUCCAAUCUGUGCAGCUUGUUACAAUAGCAAGUAGAACUGUUUGUGUAAAGGCACCAACUUGUAUUCCAAUCCAAAGGCCCCUUCCUCUUAACUUCACCCAGAAUCCCAAUAUUGCAGCAACUGGAAUCCCACAUAGAUAGAAGGCCCCCAGGUUUAUAUAAGCUCCUAUGUGCUGCCAUCCAGACCCCCUUGCAACUCCUGAAAGCACCCCU
This 464-nucleotide unclassified non-coding RNA is filed under the name Hevea brasiliensis (rubber tree). Lineage: Eukaryota; Viridiplantae; Streptophyta; Magnoliopsida; Malpighiales; Euphorbiaceae. The record is from RNAcentral.